This 90-nucleotide transfer RNA is filed under the name Nitrospira sp. Its description in RNAcentral is "tRNA-Ser". It matches the Rfam family "tRNA". Rfam says of the family: Transfer RNA (tRNA) molecules are approximately 80 nucleotides in length. The record is from RNAcentral. RNAcentral also lists the same sequence under 2 other names. Lineage: Bacteria; Pseudomonadati; Nitrospirota; Nitrospiria; Nitrospirales; Nitrospiraceae.
GGAUAGGUGGCAGAGCGGUUGAAUGCACCGGUCUUGAAAACCGGCGAUCCUUCGCGGGAUCCGUGGGUUCGAAUCCCACCCUAUCCGCCA